GCAUUUUUAUCUUGUAACCACAGAUUGAGGUUGUCACAGUAACAAAUACUCCACAGAUUUGGGUUUAAACACAACUUUCUUCUACUUUUUAUUUGAUUUUCCCUCCUCCAGAAAAUCAUAGCACGAUGAAAACGACGCUGGUUUUGCUUCUUGUCGUUCUGGUCAUCUCGUCUGAGAUGUUGACUGCAGACAGCUUCCUUAGGAAUGGCAACAGUCGGAACCUGGUCCGCAGCGGGCCGCCCGGUACCCACGGCGAGGUGGCCGCCCUGAAGGCUCUACAGUCCCGCCGCCAGGCCGAGGCCGCACGCCGUAAGAGGGACGUGGAUGAGAACGGCGUUCACGGUCCAGAAGGGGAAAAAUGAAGGAUGGAAAGGUUGUCGAGGUGAUUACUAGUGUAUGCCACCGCCACUACGUGACGUCAACGAAUGAUGGCUGCCAAGAUCCACUAUUGCAGAUCCAACAGACGUCGCUAUUUUUAAUUCUUACUUUUCUU
Molecule: long non-coding RNA, 493 nt
Organism: Branchiostoma belcheri (Belcher's lancelet)
Lineage: Eukaryota; Metazoa; Chordata; Leptocardii; Amphioxiformes; Branchiostomatidae
Exons: 4
Source: RefSeq, a predicted model, not a curated record